GCCACGGUAGCUCAGGUGGUAGAGCAGGGGACUGAAAAUCNNAAAAUCCCCGUGUCGGCAGUUCAACUCUGUCCCGUGGCACCA
This 84-nucleotide transfer RNA is filed under the name Candidatus Edwardsiibacteriota bacterium. RNAcentral describes it as "tRNA-Phe". It matches the Rfam family "tRNA". From Rfam's summary of the family: Transfer RNA (tRNA) molecules are approximately 80 nucleotides in length. Their secondary structure includes four short double-helical elements and three loops (D, anti-codon, and T loops). Lineage: Bacteria; Candidatus Edwardsiibacteriota. The record is from RNAcentral.